Molecule: long non-coding RNA, 981 nt
Organism: Dipodomys ordii (Ord's kangaroo rat)
Lineage: Eukaryota; Metazoa; Chordata; Mammalia; Rodentia; Heteromyidae
Exons: 3
Source: RefSeq, a predicted model, not a curated record
UGAGGACCUGCAAAGAUUAUGAGGAGUUUCAACUCAGGAUAUGGUGUCCAAGUCCUAAUCAGAGGGAGAGGAGAGAAUUGGCUUCUGUACAUCUGUACCUAUCACCGCUUCAUGCUAUGUUUCCAAUUUAGGUGCUGAUGUCCAACUUUAGCUUGUUCCUUCUGCUACAAAACAAGGACAAACUUGAUGAAUGCAGAAAAGUCAAGCAAUGAUUGAUUUCCUAAUCAAUAUUAGCAUUUCGCUCUCUUUUUUCCCUCCCUACAACCUCUGAUCCUGGCAAAGGCUGUUAGUUUGGAUGAAGAUGAUUGACAAGGAUGGGAAGCUCUUAUACUUAAUUCUCUUUUAAAAUCUAUUGAAGCAAAAACUUCUCCAAUGACCUCUGACAAGGAUUUUGUCAUCAUCCUCUGGUUCAGACAGAAACCUUCAUAGAACAACAAGAACAAAAUGUGAAAAAAAAAACCCCAACAACACAAAGCAGUCAUUGCCAAUAAAAUUGUUGAGAGCUAAAAGGCAGAGAAACAUUUGCAUUUGAGAUACUAUGAUGCCUGUUUUUUUUUUUUUGACACUCUAAGGGAUAGUUUCUCUUUAAAGCAUAGCUAGAGCAAAGAAUGCGUCCGAGAUUAUAUAAUAUCCUCUGAUAGUGACAUCAGAUUUAGGGUUGGCUUACUUUUCCUUGCCUACUCACUUCUGAAAAUUGCCUCUGGGAUGCAGAGUCCAUCCUUAAAUAAAGCCUUCCCCUUACUCCAUAUUUCAUGUGAAGGUAUAUUCUCAGAUGCCUGAAAUCAGAAUAAAUCUCUCACUGUUCACAGGUCCUCCAUGAGGAAGUUUCUAGCUUCCUGUUAGAGGCUGUGUUUGUGGCACACUUUCAAGUCUAUACUUAUUGGUAAUUCAAAUAAAGGGCUUAAAGGAGUCAAGGUGAUACCACCAUCUCUUGUAUGAUAAGGCAAUGUCUACUAGUGUCCAUGUGCUUGUCAGUACCCU